AUUGAACGCUGGCGGCAGGCCUAACACAUGCAAGUCGAACGGUAACAGGAAGAAGCUUGCUUCUUUGCUGACGAGUGGCGGACGGGUGAGUGAUGUCUGGGAAACUGCCUGAUGGAGGGGGAUAACUACUGGAAACGGUAGCUAAUACCGCAUAACGUCGCAAGACCAAAGAGGGGGACCUUCGGGCCUCUUGCCAUCGGAUGUGCCCAGAUGGGAUUAGCUAGUAGGUGGGGUAACGGCUCACCUAGGCGACGAUCCCUAGCUGGUCUGAGAGGAUGACCAGCCACACUGGAACUGAGACACGGUCCAGACUCCUACGGGAGGCAGCAGUGGGGAAUAUUGCACAAUGGGCGCAAGCCUGAUGCAGCCAUGCCGCGUGUAUGAAGAAGGCCUUCGGGUUGUAAAGUACUUUCAGCGGGGAGGAAGGGAGUAAAGUUAAUACCUUGGCUCAUUGACGUUACCCGCAGAAGAAGCACCGGCUAACUCCGUG
RNAcentral lists this ribosomal RNA (490 nucleotides) under uncultured bacterium. Its description in RNAcentral is "partial 16S ribosomal RNA". It matches the Rfam family "Bacterial small subunit ribosomal RNA", at positions 30 to 507 of the family's 1533-position model. The record is from RNAcentral.